UACGUAGGGUGCGAGCGUUGUCCGGAAUUACUGGGCGUAAAGAGUUCGUAGGCGGUUUGUCGCGUCGUUCGUGAAAACUUGGGGCUUAACUCCAAGCGUGCGGGCGAUACGGGCAGACUUGAGUACUACAGGGGAGACUGGAAUUCCUGGUGUAGCGGUGAAAUGCGCAGAUAUCAAGAGGAACACCGGUGGCGAAGGCGGGUCUCUGGGUAGUAACUGACGCUGAGGAACGAAAGCGUGGGU
Molecule: ribosomal RNA, 243 nt
Filed under: uncultured bacterium
Lineage: Bacteria
Description: partial 16S ribosomal RNA
Rfam family: Bacterial small subunit ribosomal RNA
Source: RNAcentral